Molecule: ribosomal RNA, 674 nt
Filed under: uncultured archaeon
Lineage: Archaea
Description: bacterial SSU rRNA
Rfam family: Archaeal small subunit ribosomal RNA
Source: RNAcentral
CCGCGAUAGGUCAAGAUUUCUGGAAUGGAUCCUGGCUUAAAUCUACAUGGCCCCUGGAUUGGACUGCGGCCGAUCAGGCUGUUGGUGAGGUAAUGGCCCACCAAACCUAUAACCGGUACGGGCUCUGAGAGGAGAAGCCCGGAGAUGGGCACUGAGACAAGGGCCCAGGCCCUAUGGGGCGCAGCAGGCGCGAAAACUCUGCAAUGGGCGAAAGCCUGACAGGGUUACUCUGAGUGAUUUCCGCUAAGGAGAUCUUUUGGCAGCUCUAAAAAUGGUGCAGAAUAAGGGGUGGGCAAGUCUGGUGUCAGCCGCCGCGGUAAUACCAGCACCCCGAGUGGUCGGGACGAUUAUUGGGCCUAAAGCAUCCGUAGCCGGUUGUGCAAGUCCUCCGUUAAAUCCAGCCGCUCAACGGAUGGGCUGCGGAGGAUACUACAGAACUAGGAGGCGGGAGAGGCAAGCGGUACUUAGUGGGUAGGGGUAAAAUCCUUUGAUCCAUUGAAGACCACCAGUGGCGAAGGCGGCUUGCCAGAACGCGCUCGACGGUGAGGGAUGAAAGCUGGGGGAGCAAACCGGAUUAGAUACCCGGGUAGUCCCAGCUGUAAACGAUGCAGACUCGGUGAUGGGCUAGCCUCGUGUCAGCCCAGUGCCGCAGGGAAGCCGUUAAGUCUGCCGCC